UGGGGAAUAUUGCACAAUGGGCGAAAGCCUGAUGCAGCAACGCCGCGUGAGUGAUGAGGGCCUUCGGGUUGUAAAGCUCUGUCUUUUGGGACGAUAAUGACGGUACCAAAGGAGGAAGCCACGGCUAACUACGUGCCAGCAGCCGCGGUAAUACGUAGGUGGCAAGCGUUGUCCGGAUUUACUGGGCGUAAAGGAUGCGUAGGCGGAUUUUUAAGUGAGAUGUGAAAAACCCUAAGCUUAACUUGGGACUGCAUUUCAUACUGGAAAUCUAGAGUGCGGGAGAGGAGAAUGGAAUUCCUAGUGUAGCGGUGAAAUGCGUAGAGAUUAGGAAGAACACCAGUGGCGAAGGCGAUUCUCUGGACCGUAACUGACGCUGAGGCAUGAAAGCGUGGGUAGCAAAACAGGAUUAGAUACCCUGGUAGUCCACGCCGUAAACGAUGAGUACUAGGUGUAGGAGGUAUCGACCCCCUUCUGUGCCGCAGUUAACACAAUAAGUACUCCGCCUGGGAAGUACGAUCGCAAGAUUAAAACUUAAAGGAAUUGACGGGGUCAUAGCUGUUUCCU
RNAcentral lists this ribosomal RNA (564 nucleotides) under uncultured bacterium. RNAcentral describes it as "partial 16S ribosomal RNA". It matches the Rfam family "Bacterial small subunit ribosomal RNA", at positions 355 to 1375 of the family's 1533-position model. The record is from RNAcentral.